UAUUUCAAUGGCAAAACAAAAACCAGGCCAAACAGACAACAUAUUUUUGUUACUAAAAAAGGAAAUGACCUAAUCUGAAGCAACAUGUUCACUAAUCGCCCAAUUUGAAGAUGCUUUUGAACACAUCCUCAACCAACCAAUUCCGCGAACCUUAACACGAGAUGAAAGACAUUUUUCUACAUCUGGAAUGCUUGUCCUAAAACUAAGAUUUCACUACUGGAUAGUAAAAUUCAUGCUUGUGAGAUUUACAAUUUUAUUUUAAGAGUAAGGUUUAAAUAUUAAAUAUUUGUGAUAUUAUCUUUGGAUUUUUAAAACGAUUUUUACUUGGCAUUUAUUCUGUGUUAAUGUUUCCUUCUAAUUUUACCUUCUAAUUACUAUCAAAUGCCUAUAUCAGGUAGAUGUCAUUUUUACAUGUUAUGGAAACAUGUAAUUUUGUCACAAUAUUUUGGUUCACAAUAGUAAUAGCCAAGCAUUUAUUAUUACACUUUUUUUUUCCCACAGAAAACCUUUCAAACUUUUAGUAUAACCCUAUCACAGAAAAACUAUUCAUUGUCUAUUAUUGUGGCCAAUCUUUAUUAUUUAAAAACACGUAAGUGAAGUGUUAUGGAAAAAAUACAGAAUAAAUUGUGAUUUGGGGAAUUCCCGGGAAUUCCAAUUUCUUGUUUCUGCCUCACAAAAAUGAUUAUCCGUCAGGAAUUUGGAAACAGUAGCCUGUAUUAAGGCAGCCAUGGUGAAAGUAGAGAGGAAAGGAAAAAAUAAAGAGGUAUUUAAGAGGUAAACCAUCAGAUUUAGUGGCUGAUUUGAUGUGAGAAAUAGGGGAGAAAUGACUCUAGAAUAACUUUUUAAAUGUCUGGUUUUACAGAUGUGGAUGAUGAAGAUUUCAGGAAGGAAAGCAGUGUGGGGCAGUGAGAUUGCUGGAACACAGAAAGUUGAAGGAGCCUGAGUCAUGCGCCUGAGAGUGUCCUCAGCAAAGAGAAAGGAAGUGUCCACCUGUGCUGGUGUGGGUCUUCCUCCCUAUUUGGCUAUGCUCUGGAGGUUCUUCAGGAAGGAUGGGCCAAUCACCUUUCCUGCCUGAGAUGCUGAGGUUCCCUGCCAAUGCUUGUGGGUAGAAAAGAGACCAAGGUAAAUGUCCCUACUUUGCAAUUGGAGGACAUGAGGCUGGGGAGACACAAAAGAACUCACUCUAGGAUUAUAGUCAAUAGAUGGGAGAGAUGAAAAUAACCUGAGUAAUAGGCCCCAUCACCUAAUCUGCUGAGGAUGGAAGGGUGGAUAGCUAGAUAGAGCUAGCAGAAAGAGACCUUAGUCAUCUAAGCCAACCUCUUCAUUUUAUAGAAAAUUGAAAUCUGGAGAGGAAUGGUGACUUGCCCCCUUACACUACUGAAAAACCUCCCUUUUUUGGAUACAAUCUGAUCCUUUGUGCUUCUACUAGAGAUGAAGUCGGGCUAAUUCUAAACAACUGCAUUCAUUCCAGGACCCUAGGGAGCCAAGGAACACUUGCAGGGCCAAUACUACCUACCUUUACCUGAAGUCCCAACCAAUUAAUUCAGCAAAUAAAUAAGUGAAUUUCAGCUAAAUAAUCACAAGCACGCCCCCGUGGGACUGAUGGAAGACCCCUGAAGCUGGGUGGCAGAGAGCAGAGCUGCAGGAAACUCGAGACGCCUGCCUUGAAGAACCCAGCGACUGGUCCGGCUCUUCAUCCAACAGACGCAAUGGCAUCCGAACAGAAGGAACUUUUUCUCUGUCCUACCACCUUUUGGAAAUUUACUCUGGGGUGCUGGGCAGAGGGAGGCGCAGGACCGGCUUACACUGUUCACGAACACUUUAGAGCCUCCACUUACAGCGCUGAUGCCCUCCCGGGACGGAGGAGGGCUCUGUAAAUCAAGCCCUUCUCGGUUCGUCAGCCCUGGAUCUGCUGAGUCCUCACGUCAAAGGCAAGUUGGAACAGAGUGGAGACUUUGGCAAAAGACUUUCUCCCCCUCCAGCUCCCCAUUUUAAUGAAACAAUUCUAGGGUGAGGUUGGUCCGGGAAUUAUUUCUCUGACUCACAUUCCCUUUGCUCUUUUUCACACACUCAGAAGCAGCACCUCUGAGUCCCUUGUAGCCCUGGGCACAGGGAAGCCAGGGUUGGGGCAGAGCUGCACUGGGGCCCACUCCACUCCCAAGGCUGAGAAGACAAACAGGGAGGCGUGUCUCCCAAGCCGAUUUCUUUCAUCACCCCAAGCUAUCUGGGGACACCGUUGCUACACACCUCAUGAAGAAGCCGCAAACUGGUUCUCGCUCUCAAAUAAGCAGGUGGGAAUAGGUCUGCUUAAGAUCCAGUACAAAGCUGAUAGAGAGUUAAGCUAAGCAAGAAGGGAGGCGGUUGGUCUGACCUCUGCCCUUCUUGUUGAGCAAGGAGCAAGGGGGACACUGCCUCUUCAGAGACUUGGGCUAGCCCGGGAGACACAGACCCUGGCCCGGAAAAGCAGCUGGGCCAUCUGGGCGGGUCCUGUCCCAGGCUUCAUCUUUCAUAAUCUGAUCUACUCUGUUGGCACUGAGCGUGCAAAGAUGACGACGACAUAGU
This is a long non-coding RNA of Orcinus orca (killer whale), 2562 nucleotides long. RefSeq lists it as uncharacterized. The record is from RefSeq and is a predicted model, not a curated record. The transcript has 3 exons. NCBI's taxonomy places the organism in Eukaryota, Metazoa, Chordata, Mammalia, Artiodactyla, Delphinidae.